RNAcentral lists this ribosomal RNA (433 nucleotides) under uncultured bacterium. RNAcentral describes it as "partial 16S ribosomal RNA". It matches the Rfam family "Bacterial small subunit ribosomal RNA", at positions 29 to 507 of the family's 1533-position model. The record is from RNAcentral.
AACGAACGCUGGCGGCAGGCUUAACACAUGCAAGUCGAGCGCACCCUUCGGGGUGAGCGGCGGACGGGUGAGUAACGCGUGGGAACGUGCCCUCUUCUACGGAAUAGCCUCGGGAAACUGAGAGUAAUGCCGUAUACGCCCGCAAGGGGAAAGAUUUAUCGGAGGAGGAUCGGCCCGCGUUGGAUUAGGUAGUUGGUGGGGUAACGGCCUACCAAGCCGACGAUCCAUAGCUGGUUUGAGAGGAUGAUCAGCCACACUGGGACUGAGACACGGCCCAGACUCCUACGGGAGGCAGCAGUGGGGAAUCUUGGACAAUGGGGGCAACCCUGAUCCAGCCAUGCCGCGUGAUCGAUGAAGGCCUUAGGGUUGUAAAGAUCUUUCAGCUGGGAAGAUAAUGACGGUACCAGCAGAAGAAGCCCCGGCUAACUCCGUG